AACGAACGCUGGCGGCAUGCCUAACACAUGCAAGUCGAACGAGACCUUCGGGUCUAGUGGCGCACGGGUGCGUAACGCGUGGGAACCUGCCCUUAGGUUCGGAAUAACUCCCCGAAAGGGGUGCUAAUACCGGAUAAUGUCUUCGGACCAAAGAUUUAUCGCCUUUGGAUGGGCCCGCGUUGGAUUAGCUAGUUGGUAGGGUAAAAGCCUACCAAGGCGACGAUCCAUAGCUGGUCUGAGAGGAUGAUCAGCCACACUGGGACUGAGACACGGCCCAGACUCCUACGGGUGGCAGCAGUGGGGAAUAUUAGACAAUGGGCGAAAGCCUGAUCCAGCAAUGCCGCGUGAGUGAUGAAGGCCUUAGGGUUGUAAAGCUCUUUUACCCGGGAUGAUAAUGACAGUACCGGGAGAAUAAGCUCCGGCUAACUCCGUG
RNAcentral lists this ribosomal RNA (433 nucleotides) under uncultured bacterium. Its description in RNAcentral is "partial 16S ribosomal RNA". It matches the Rfam family "Bacterial small subunit ribosomal RNA", at positions 29 to 507 of the family's 1533-position model. The record is from RNAcentral.